Molecule: RNA transcript, 919 nt
Organism: Octodon degus (degu)
Lineage: Eukaryota; Metazoa; Chordata; Mammalia; Rodentia; Octodontidae
Gene name: DNA-directed RNA polymerase I subunit RPA43 pseudogene
Exons: 2
Source: RefSeq, a predicted model, not a curated record
AUGGCUGCGGGUUCCUCCGAGGGCCCCCCGCCGAAGGUGGCCUCUGAAGGUCUAGCGGUAGGGCCGGCCGGCGUCCUGCCUUGCCUCGAGCUGCCGAGCUACGCUGCUGCCUGUGCGCUGGUGAGCAGCCGCUACUCGUGCGUGCCUUGUGGCGGGGCCGCACCGCAGGCACAUCGCCCUGUCGCCCCGCUACCUCAACAGGAAACGCACCGGCAUCCGGGAGCAGCUGGACGCCGAGCUCCUUCGCUACUCCGAGAGCCUUUUAGGUGUCCCUAUCGCAUAUGACAAUAUCAGAGUUGUGGGUGAACUGGGAGACAUUUAUGAUGAUCAAGGACACAUUCAUCUUAACACUGAAGCAGAUUUUGUUGUUUUCUGCCCUGAACCAGGGCAAAAGUUUAUGGGUAUAGUGAAUAAAGUAUCUUCCAGCCACAUUGGCUGUCUUGUACAUGGAUGCUUUAACGCCUCCAUUCCUAAGCCUGAGCAGAUGUCUGCUGAGCAGUGGCACACCGUGGAGAUAAACGUGGGUGAUGAACUGGAGUUUGAAGUAUUUCGUUUAGACUCAGAUGCUGCUGGAGUAUUUUGCAUUCAUGGAAAACUAAAUAUCACUAGCUUACAACCCAAGGGCUUUAAAAUUUCUGAAGGAGCAGAAACUGUCACAGAGGGAGCUGUUGAAAAACUUCCAAAGAAGAAAAAGAAAAAGAAGAAAGCUCCAGAAACAGAUGAGGUGGAUAUUAGUGCCACAGAGGUGCGCGGGUCUCUGCGCCGCGCCCACCCGGCAGCCUCUCCAGCUGCUCUGGGCAAAGCCUCCCCAGGCUGCCCCUCGAAUCCGAGGCCCGCGCGUCCUUCCUGCGUACUCAGGGCCUUGGAAGCAGCGCAGGACUUGACCCACAGUAGCGACCAAGGCGGCUCGGCGCCCUGA